CUCCGGUUGAUCCCGCCGGACCUGACUGCUAUCGGAUUGGUACUAAGCCAUGCGAGUCAUUGUAGCAAUACAAGGCGGACGGCUCAGUAACACGUAGUCAACCUAACUCGUGGACGUGGAUAACCUCGGGAAACUGAGAAUAAACCACGAUAGACCAUAGUGCCUGGAAUGGCUUAUGGUCCAAACAGUUUACUGCCAUGGGAUGGGACUGCGGCCUAUCAGCUUGUUGGUGAGGUAAUGGCCCACCAAGGCGAUUACAGGUACGGGCUCUGAGAGGAGAAGCCCGGAGAUGGGUACUGAGACACGGACCCAGGCCCUAUGGGGCGCAGCAGGCGAGAAACCUUAGCAAUGUGCGAAAGCACGACUGGGUCAGUCCGAGUGAUUCCUGAUAAAGGAGUCUUUUGCUUGUCCUAAAAGCACAGGUGAAUAAGGGGUGGGCAAGUCUGGUGUCAGCCGCCGCGGUAAUACCAGCACCUCGAGUGGUCAGGACGUUUAUUGGGCCUAAAGCAUCCGUAGCCGGCUUUGCAAGUCUUCGGUUAAAUCCACCUGCUCAACAGAUGGGCUGCUGGAGAUACUACAAAGCUAGGGAGUGGGAGAGGCAGACGGUAUUCAGUGGGUAGGGGUAAAAUCCUCUGAUCCAUCGAGGACCACCAGUGGCGAAGGCGGUCUGCCAGAACACGUUCGACGGUGAGGGAUGAAAGCUGGGGGAGCAAACCGGAUUAGAUACCCGGGUAGUCCCAGCUGUAAACGAUGCAAACUCGGUGAUGCAUUGGCUUAUGGCCAAUGCAGUGCCGCAGGGAAGCCGUUAAGUUUGCCGCCUGGGAAGUACGGACGCAAGUCUGAAACUUAAAGGAAUUGGCGGGGGAGCA
RNAcentral lists this ribosomal RNA (869 nucleotides) under uncultured archaeon. Its description in RNAcentral is "bacterial SSU rRNA". It matches the Rfam family "Archaeal small subunit ribosomal RNA", at positions 1 to 878 of the family's 1478-position model. The record is from RNAcentral.